Puntigrus tetrazona (Sumatra barb) is the source of this 254-nucleotide long non-coding RNA. RefSeq lists it as uncharacterized. The record is from RefSeq and is a predicted model, not a curated record. The transcript has 3 exons. Lineage: Eukaryota; Metazoa; Chordata; Actinopteri; Cypriniformes; Cyprinidae.
GCUCGGGCGGCAGGAACGCCAACUUAGCCGCGAUGCGACUCGGACACGGCGGGCAGCAGAAGAGCCAACACAACUCGCCGAGGGAGAAGCUGUUCAUCCUCGGGCCUUGCUCGGGCAUGGAGGGCGGCCGAUACCGGGUUGCCGACUCACCAAUAAAAAAAGAAGAAGAAGAAGAGAUGCAGGAUGGUUCUUCUUUUUGUAACCGUAUCAGAUGGCGGAUCAGCACCAAGAGAUGACCUUCAUCAGAGACCAGA